Molecule: signal recognition particle RNA, 98 nt
Filed under: Planctomycetota bacterium
Lineage: Bacteria; Pseudomonadati; Planctomycetota
Description: Planctomycetes bacterium (freshwater metagenome) signal recognition particle sRNA small type
Rfam family: Bacterial small signal recognition particle RNA
About the family: The signal recognition particle (SRP) is a universally conserved ribonucleoprotein involved in the co-translational targeting of proteins to membranes. Archaeal SRP consists of a 7S RNA and homologues of the eukaryotic SRP19 and SRP54 proteins. In most bacteria, the SRP consists of a 4.5S RNA and the Ffh protein (a homologue of the eukaryotic SRP54 protein).
Source: RNAcentral
GGCCCGGUCCCUCGCAGUAGGAGCGGAUCGAACCGGGUCAGGCCGGGAACGGAGCAGCCCUAAGGUCAGUGCCCUAGGUGCGGGGUGCCCGGGCCCAC